Molecule: non-coding RNA, 30 nt
Filed under: Cricetulus griseus (Chinese hamster)
Lineage: Eukaryota; Metazoa; Chordata; Mammalia; Rodentia; Cricetidae
Source: RNAcentral
CUUGAGAUGAUGACCUGAGCAGUGCUGAUG